This 2023-nucleotide long non-coding RNA is filed under the name Jatropha curcas. Its description in RNAcentral is "long non-coding RNA (JCUR_LNC002172)". The record is from RNAcentral. Lineage: Eukaryota; Viridiplantae; Streptophyta; Magnoliopsida; Malpighiales; Euphorbiaceae.
GUGAAGGUCACGACUGAGGAAGAUAAGCUGACCUAACAAAAGAUGAGUCAUUAUUUACAGGGAUGAAGAAGGCAUUAGCAAAGAGCCUUCCUUUAUGGAAUGGCAUAUCUGACCGAGGUUAUUCUGAAGACGUUCAAGUCUCAAGCCAUUAGGACAAAGAAAGCACCAAAGACCAAUUACUAAAAUGCAGAAAUAUAAAGAAACAGAAAAUAUUUGCACUGAUUUAGAUCGAGUUAUAUGAACUAGCAAUUGAAAACUGAUAAGUAAGAGAGAGAGAGUGAGAGAGUGAGAGAAUGAGAGCGUGUUAAAGGAAAGAAGGCAUGUGUUGUAGUUUCUCCUUUUCUUUCUUUUUUCGCUAUUGCACACAAAUUACAUCUUUAUACUGAAAUUUUACCCCAAAAAUUGAAGCCAGUGCGGUUCAAACCACUCAGCAUCCCACAUCUCGACAAUAAAAAUACAACAAUCACCCAUUCUCUCCCAACCAAUAAAAGGUGAAACCAAAAUGAUUCUCCUGAAAAAAUUGGAGAAUGAUGAAAUAAUACACAAAUUAAAAAUGAAUGAAACAGCUAAUAUACUCAUGUGACUCGUCGUGACUAAAGAUGAAUCCUAAAUAAGAAUGCAUAUUUUUCUCUGCCUUCACUAUUGUACAUUCACCAAAUUCAACUUUAGUGGCCUCAAUGCCUCUUGAACUAUCUGCUGGACUGUUCGGUUUCUCCGACAAACAUCAGAAAGUUCUUCAAUAGGAGACAUCAGGGCAUUGAUAUCCAUCCCAGAUGCUGCAUCUGACAAUGCUUGAAAGAAUCUUGCACGCUCCACUUCAGUGACUGCUGUCAACGGAAUUAGCGAAACACACUCCUUGGCCCACUCCACUGCUCUUGCUCCAUAUGCACGAGUUAGUGAUAGUAAAGCAUACAUUACCUGGAUUUAAAAAAACCCCAAAAAAAAAAAAAAAAAAAAAAAAAAAAAAAAAAAAGAAAGAAGAGAACUUCCUUCAAUACCCAAACUUAAUGCCUGUAAUUCAGCAUGUAACAGGUUGAGUGUAGGAAAUACAGUUUCUAAUCGAGAACUAGGGAGUGCUCCAGCUACUGAUGCAACCAGAAUUCUAGUAAUGCUAGCACCUCGGGGAAUAAUAACACUAUCUCUGAUGGAUAAAUAUUGUUCCCCCACGCUAGACUUUGCCAGAUCAAAGAUGUCAGACAAGAAUGUCAGUAUGGAAUUGGAGGCCUCUCUGCAAAGGUUGAAUUACAAAGUCAGAACAUGUAAAAUAAAUAGAUGACAAGAAGCCCAAAUACUGUGAAACAAAAUGUAGAAGACUUUGAACAAGUAAAAGAAUAAUGAAGUGCGACAAAAUAACAUUAUUGAUUAUUCUGAAGGCGGUGAGUGGUGAAGGUCACGACUGAGGAAGAUAAGCUGACCUAACAAAAGAUGAGUCAUUAUUUACAGGGAUGAAGAAGGCAUUAGCAAAGAGCCUUCCUUUAUGGAAUGGCAUAUCUGACCGAGGUUAUUCUGAAGACGUUCAAGUCUCAAGCCAUUAGGACAAAGAAAGCACCAAAGACCAAUUACUAAAAUGCAGAAAUAUAAAGAAACAGAAAAUAUUUGCACUGAUUUAGAUCGAGUUAUAUGAACUAGCAAUUGAAAACUGAUAAGUAAGAGAGAGAGAGUGAGAGAGUGAGAGAAUGAGAGCGUGUUAAAGGAAAGAAGGCAUGUGUUGUAGUUUCUCCUUUUCUUUCUUUUUUCGCUAUUGCACACAAAUUACAUCUUUAUACUGAAAUUUUACCCCAAAAAUUGAAGCCAGUGCGGUUCAAACCACUCAGCAUCCCACAUCUCGACAAUAAAAAUACAACAAUCACCCAUUCUCUCCCAACCAAUAAAAGGUGAAACCAAAAUGAUUCUCCUGAAAAAAUUGGAGAAUGAUGAAAUAAUACACAAAUUAAAAAUGAAUGAAACAGCUAAUAUACUCAUGUGACUCGUCGUGACUAAAGAUGAAUCCUAAAUAAGAAUGCAUAUUUUUCUCUGCCUUCAC